CGGAGGCCGGCGCCGGGUUCAAGUAAUCCAGGAUAGGCUGUGGUCUGCGCAGUCGGCCUGUUCUCGAUUACUUGGCGCCGGAGCCGGCCGGCAGCU
This 96-nucleotide non-coding RNA is filed under the name Chrysemys picta bellii (western painted turtle). RNAcentral's name for it is "miRNA (ENSCPBG00000013257.1)". The stretch from base 7 to 87 matches the Rfam family "mir-26 microRNA precursor family". From Rfam's summary of the family: The hairpin precursors (represented here) are predicted based on base pairing and cross-species conservation -- their extents are not known. In this case the mature sequence is excised from the 5' arm of the hairpin. Lineage: Eukaryota; Metazoa; Chordata; Testudines; Emydidae. The record is from RNAcentral. RNAcentral also lists the same sequence under 2 other names.